GCGCUCGCUUCAGCAACACAUACACUGAAACGGAAACAGUACGGAGCAGGUUAGCAUGGCUCUUGUUCAGGGAUGACACUCAAAUUCGUGAAGCCUUUCAUAAAAAA
Pipistrellus kuhlii (Kuhl's pipistrelle) is the source of this 107-nucleotide small nuclear RNA. The record is from RefSeq and is a predicted model, not a curated record. NCBI's taxonomy places the organism in Eukaryota, Metazoa, Chordata, Mammalia, Chiroptera, Vespertilionidae.